GUGGGGAAUAUUGGGCAAUGGGCGAAAGCCUGACCCAGCAACGCCGCGUGAAGGAAGAAGGUUUUCGGAUCGUAAACUUCUAUCCUUGGUGAAGAUAAUGACGGUAGCCAAGAAGGAAGCCCCGGCUAACUACGUGCCAGCAGCCGCGGUAAUACGUAGGGGGCAAGCGUUGUCCGGAAUGAUUGGGCGUAAAGGGCGCGUAGGCGGCCCGGUAAGUCUGAAGUGAAAGUCCUGCUUUUAAGGUGGGAAUUGCUUUGGAUACUGUCGGGCUUGAGUGCAGGAGAGGUAAGCGGAAUUCCCGGUGUAGCGGUGAAAUGCGUAGAGAUCGGGAGGAACACCAGUGGCGAAGGCGGCUUACUGGACUGUAACUGACGCUGAGGCGCGAAAGUCUGGGGAGCAAACAGGAUUAGAAACCCGGGUAGUCC
Molecule: ribosomal RNA, 425 nt
Filed under: uncultured bacterium
Lineage: Bacteria
Description: partial 16S ribosomal RNA
Rfam family: Bacterial small subunit ribosomal RNA
Source: RNAcentral